Non-coding RNA from Sus scrofa (pig), 11315 nucleotides. The record is from RefSeq and is a predicted model, not a curated record. NCBI's taxonomy places the organism in Eukaryota, Metazoa, Chordata, Mammalia, Artiodactyla, Suidae.
CCUCUCCAGAGACUAUUCAUUUCAUUCCCGCCCAUCUGAAAACUGAAGAACUCCGCAGACCCUCAGACCCGCAGACCCGUAGGGGGUUCGCUUUCACUGCAGGAAGAGAUGCUGUAAACAGAGGUACACAGCCAAUCCAUCUUCACACCCGGAAAUGAGACGGCAGUGAGACAGGCCUAGAAGCAAAGCUGGUGAUUGCUGCGAAACUCGAUGCUAUCAGGCCCAAGAAUUGGCCAGGAAAGGGCUCAACACAGACAGGACCACUCAGAAAAACAGUAAGAUAAAGCACUGGAGGCAGGCGGCCGGCUGUGCGGACGCGACGGAGAGGCCGACAGAAGGUGAGUGCUGUGGGCUAUGGGAUGGAUGAGGCAGAGCAGGACCAGCAUGAGGCCCGACUCAAGGAGCUGUUUGACAGUUUUGACACAACGGGCACUGGAUCCCUGGGACAGGAGGAACUCACUGACCUUUGCCACAUGUUGAGCUUGGAGGAGGUGGCCCCGGUGCUGCAAGAGACGCUGCUUCAGGACAACCUCUUGGGCAGGGUGCAUUUUGACCAAUUUAAAGAAGCAUUAAUACUUAUCUUGUCUAGAACUCUAUCAAAUGAAGAACACUUUCAAGAACCAGCAUCUGUGGGUGUCAGCUGCCAACAAGUAGCUCGGGUGUCUGGGCCGCUCCUGAAUGCUCACAUGCUGACACACUCUCUUCUGAUAAAAGCUCCGAAGCUCAUGAAGAGAAAAGAACAUGACUGCACUCUAGAAGCUCAACCCAAAUAUGUUAGAGGUGGGAAGCGCUAUGGACGGAGAUCCUUACCCGAGUUUCAAGAAUCCGUGGAGGAGUUUGCAGAGGUGACAGUGAUUGAGCCACUAGAUGAGGAAGCACGGCCUUCACACAUCCCAGCCAGCGACCGAAGUGAGCACUGGAAGACGCAGCGCAGCGAAGAGUAUGAAGCAGAAGGUCAGUUAAGAUUUUGGAACCCAGAUGAUUUAAAUGCCUCAAAAAGUGGGUCUUCCCCUCCUCAAGACUGGAUAGAAGAGAAACUACAGGAGGUUUGUGAAGAUUUGGGGAUUACCCGUGAUGGUCACCUGAACCGAAAGAAGCUGGUCUCCAUCUGCGAGCAGUAUGGUUUACAGAAUGUCGAUGGAGAGAUGCUUGAAGAAGUCUUCCAUAAUCUUGAUCCCGAUGGUACAAUGAGUGUAGAAGAUUUUUUCUAUGGCUUAUUCAAAAACGGAAAGUCCCUUACACCUUCAGCAUCUACCCCAUACAGACAAUUGAAAAGGCACCUCUCUAUGCAGUCUUUCGAUGAGAGUGGACGACGGACCACAACCCCAUCUGCAAUGAUGAGUACCAUUGGCUUUCGGGUCUUCUCCUGCCUGGAUGAUGGGAUGGGCUAUGCAUCAGUGGAGAGAAUACUUGAUACCUGGCAAGAAGAGGGCAUUGAGAACAGCCAGGAGAUCCUGAAGGCCUUGGAUUUCAGCCUUGAUGGAAAUGUCAACUUGACAGAAUUGACGCUGGCUCUUGAAAAUGAGCUUUUGGUUACCAAGAACAACAUUCACCAGGCGGCUCUGGCCAGCUUUAAGGCUGAGAUCCGGCAUUUGCUGGAGCGAGUUGAUCAAGUGGUCAGAGAAAAAGAGAAGCUACGGUCAGAUCUGGACAAAGCUGAGAAGCUCAAGUCUCUAAUGGCCUCAGAGGUGGAUGAUCACCAUGCAGCCAUAGAGCGGCGGAAUGAGUACAACCUCAGGAAACUGGAUGAAGAGUACAAAGAGCGAAUAGCAGCCUUAAAGAACGAGCUGCGAAAGGAGAGAGAGCAGAUUCUGCAGCAGGUGGGCAAGCAGCGUUUGGAACUUGAACAGGAAAUUGAAAAAGCAAAAACAGAAGAAAAUUACAUCCGGGACCGCCUUGCCCUCUCUUUAAAGGAAAACAGUCGUCUGGAAAACGAGCUUCUGGAAAAUGCAGAGAAGUUGGCAGAGUAUGAGAAUCUGACAAACAAACUUCAGCGAAAUUUGGAAAAUGUUUUGGCAGAAAAGUUUGGUGAUCUUGAUCCCAGCAGUGCUGAAUUCUUUUUGCAAGAAGAAAGGCUGACACAGAUGAAAAAUGAGUAUGAGCAGCAGUGCAGGCUAUUACAAGACCAAGUAGAUGAACUCCAGUCUGAACUGGAAGAAUAUCGUACACAAGGCAAAGUGUUCAGACUUCCCUUGAAGAACUCACUGUCAGAAGAACUUGAUAUUAACAGUGGUUGCAUUGAGCCUGACCAGGGGCUUGGUUCUGAAGAAUGCAAUCCAUUGAAUAUGAGUAUCGAGGCAGAGCUGGUCAUCGAACAGAUGAAAGAACAACAUCACAGGGACUUGGGUCACCUAAGAUUGGAGCUUGAAGAUAAAGUGCACCAUUAUGAAAAACAGCUAGAUGAAACCAAGCUUGCCUGUAAAAAGGAGCAGGAGAACAUGAAGCAAAAGUAUGAGAAUGAAGUGCACAUCUUGGAAGAACAAAUAAACGACCUUAAAAGUGAAAUUGCAGAACUUCAGGGCCAGACAAUGGUACUCAAGGAGACACAACAUACAACUAUCUGUAGACAUGAGGAGGAGAAAAAACAAUUGCAAAUGAAGUGGGAGGAGGAAAAGGCUCUCCUACAGGAGGAGCUGAGGCUGAAACACGAGCUGGAGCUCAAGGCUAAGCUGGAGCAGGUGGAAGAAAGCUUUAAUGGAGAGAGGGAAAAACUCAUUCAAAAUGGGACCUGGACAGAUGAGAAGGUGAGAAACUUGACUCAGGAACUAGAACAAGUUCACCAGGAACAACUGAAAAGCCUGGUGGAGAAGCACAAUCUUGAGAAAAAGGAAUUGCAAAAAGAGCUCUUGGAAAAAUACCAAAGCGAACUACAAGAGGGAAGGGAAAAAAUGGAAACUGAGUGUAAUAGAAGAACCUCUCAGAUAGAAGCCCAGUUUCAGGCUGAUUGUCAGAAAGUCACUGAGAGAUGUGAAAAUGCCCUGCGAAGUCUGGAGGGGUACUACCGCCAAGAGCUGAAAGAGCUCCUGGAACAACAACAUGAGGAGAGAUCCCAAUGGGAGUUUGAGAAGGACGAGCUCACUCAGGAGUGUGCAGAAGCCCAGGAGCAGCUUAAAGUGGCUCUCCAAAGAGAGAAAGCAGCUUCUCUGGUCCUGACCCAGGAGAGAGAGAUGCUAGAGAAAACAUACAAAGAACAUCUGAACAGCAUGGUUGUUGAGAGAGAGCGGCUACUCAAAGACCUAGAAGAUCUAAGAAGUGUGUCUGAAAAUCAGCAAAGUCUACUGUCCAACCAGAUACUUGAGCUAAAGAGCAGUCAUGAAAGAGAGCUAAAAGCCCAUGAGCAGGUCCUGUGCCAGGCAGGUGCCUCCAAGCAGCAGGCCAGCCAGAGGCUUGAAAGGCUAGAAAUGGAACGUGACCAGGAGAGGCAGGAAAUGAUGUCCAAGCUUCUGGCCAUGGAGAGCAUCCACAAAGCCACCUGUGAGAAAGCAGAACAAGAAAGGGCUCAGAUGAGCGUAGAAAUCUCCAGGCUCCAGAAUAAAAUUAAGGAAAUGGAGCAGGUGGCAUCCCCUCCCUCCAGGCUUCAGAAUGGCUGCCAGGCAAUGGAAGGGGAGGAGGCAGAAGGAAGUGGAGCCAUGUCCCUGCUCCAGCAAGGAGAGCAGCUGUUAGAGGAGAAUGGAGAUGUCCUCUUAAGCCUGCAAAGAGCUCAUGAACGAGCAGUGAAGGAAAAUGUGAAAAUGGCUGCUGAAAUUUCUAGGUUGCAACAGAGGCUGCAGAAAUUAGAGCCAGAGUCAAUAAUGUCUACUUGUUUAGAUGAGCCAACUACUGGGUUUUUUCAAAAUUCUGUGGAACAAACAGAGCCAAUUUUACUGCACAACCAAGUAAGCCACGUAGAAGGUGGGACCAUGAAGCACGUCCCAAGUGACCAGCAAGGCAGUGAAAUCCAGGACCUAGAAAGUACAGAGACGAGCUCUGGUCAGAGACAGGAGGUCAGAAUAGAGGAGUCAGAAGCAUCAAUAGAGAGUUUUUCUGAGCUCGAAAAUAGCGAGGAGACCAGGACUGAGACCUGGGAACUGAAGAAUCAGAUUAGCGAGCUUCAGAAACAGCUAAUGACCUUACGUGCAGACUGUGAUCGAGCUUCUGAAAAGAAACAGGACCUACUUUUUGAUGUUUCUGUGCUAAAGAAGAAAUUAAAGAUGCUUGAAAGACUCCCUGAAGCUUCUCCCAGGUAUAAAUUGUUAUAUGAAGAUGCCAGCAGAGAAAAUGAGUGUCUUCAGGAAGAGCUGAGAGUGAUAGAGACACGCUAUGAUGAAGCACUAGAAAAUAACAAAGAACUCACUUCAGAAAUGUUCAGAUUACAGGAUGAGCUUAAGAAAGUUGAAGAAGUGACUGAAACAUUCCUUAGCCUGGAAAAGAGUUAUGAUGAGGUCAAAAGAGAAAAUGAGGAACUGCACAUUCUGGUUUUAAGACUUCAAGGCAAGAUUGAGAAGCUGCAAGAAAGAGCAGUGCUGCAGUGUGACUGCUUUUCCGUAUGGGAAACCCGUUUAGAUAACCUGGAAGUCUUACCUGAUGAAAAGGUCCUUGAACUCGAUCAGACACUGAAGGAGCAUGGGCCAAAGCUUAUGAAUGUGCACCACUUUAUAGAAGAACAUUAUCAAGAAAACCAGGGCCUUGAGCAGGAGAAUACGCAGCUCUUAGAAAAAGUAAAAGCACACGAAAUUGCCUGGCUACAUGGAACACUCCAUAUGCAUCAAGAAAAGCCUGGAGUACAGAACCAAGUUAUCCUGGAAGAAAACACUGCUCUCCUCAGCCUUCAAGACAAACAUUUUCAGCGCCAGGCCACAAUCGCAGAGUUAGAACUAGAGAAAAAAAAGCUGCAGGAGCUGACUAGAAAGUUGAGGGAAAGAGUCACUGCUUUAGUUAAGCAAAAAGAUGUACUUGCUCAAGGAGAAAAGGAGGAAGAGCUGAAGGCAAUGAUGCAUGACUUGCAAAUCACGUGCAGUGAGAUGCAGCAAAAAGUUGAGCUUCUGAGAUAUGAAUCUGAGAAGCUUCAAGAGGAAAAUUCUAUUUUGAGAAAUGAAAUUACUACUCUAAAUGAAGAAGACAGCAUUUCUAACCUGCAAUUAGGAAAAUUAAAUGGAUCUCAGGAAGAAAUACGCCAAAAAAUAGAAACCGUAAAACAAGAAAAAGCUGCAGUUCAGAAGAUAGUUGAAAGUUUAAAGAAACAGAUUUCAGAAUUAAAAACCAAAAACCAACAGUUGGAUCUGGAAAAUACAGAGCUUAGCCAAAAGAAUUCUCAAAAUCAGAAAGAACUGCAAGAACUUAAGCAACGUCUGGCAGAAAUGCUAUGCCAGAAAGAUAAAGAGCCAGGACACAGUACAUAUGAGGAAUGGGAACAAGAAAAAUCUAAUCUGGAAGAAGAACUGGAACACUGUAAAGUGAAGUCCUCCACUCUCGUGUCUUCUCUGGAGGCAGAACUUUCUGAAGUUAAAAUACAGACUCAUAUUGUAGAACAGGAAAACCUCCUUCUCAAAGAUGAACUGGAGAAAAUGAAACAACUGCACAGAUGUCCUGAUCUCUCUGACUUCCAGCAAAAAGUUUCUAGUGUUCUAAGCUACAAUGAAAAACUGCUUAAAGAAAAGGAAGCACUAAGUGAAGAAUUAAAUAUCUGUGUUGAUAAGUUGGCAAAAUCAAGUCUUUUAGAGCACAGAAUUGCUGCUAUGAAGCAAGAACAGAAGUCUUGGGAACACCAGAAUGAAAGCUUAAAGUCACAGCUAGUGGCUUCACAGGAAAAGGUUCAGAAUUUAGAAGACACCCUGCAGAAUGUAAACCUGCAAAUGUCCCAGAUUAAAUCUGACCUACGCAUGACUCAGCAGGAAAAGGAAGCUUUAAAACAAGAAGUAAUGUCUUUACACAAGCAGCUUCAGAAUGCUGGUGACAAGAACUGGGCCCCCGAAGUAGCUACCCACCCAUCAGGAUUCCCUAACCAACAGCAAAGGCUGUCCUGGGACAAGUUGGAUCAACUGAUGAAUGAGGAACAACAGCUGCUUUGGCAAGAGAAUGAGAGACUCCAGACCGUGGUACAGAACACCAAAGCAGAACUCAUUCACUCCCGGGAGAAGGUACGUCAACUGGAAUCCAACCUUCUUCUUCCUAAGCACCAAAAACAUCUAAGCUCAUCAGGUACCAUGAAGCCCCCAGAGCAAGAGAAGUUGAGCCUAAAGAGAGAAUGUGAACAGGUUCAAAAGGAACGAUCUCCUACUAAUAGGAAGGUUAGUCAGAUGAAUUCCCUUGAACGAGAAUUAGAAACAAUUCAUUUAGAAAAUGAAGGCCUGAAAAAGAAACAAGUAAAACUGGAUGAGCAGCUAAUGGAGAACUCUGUGGUUGGAACUAGCAGAGAAGGGUGCAGUUCUCUGCCUGAGAUAGUGUGUGAAGAUGCAGCAUCUGAGGUCCACUAUGUUUAGCCCCUCCCCUAAUGCUUGGGAUCUGCAGUUGCUCCAGCAGCAAGCUUGUCCGAUGGUUCCCAGGGAGCAGUUUCUGCAGCUUCAACACCAGCUGCUGCAGGCAGAAAGGAUAAACCAGUGCCUGCAGGAGGAACUUGAACACAGGACUUCCGAAACCAACACACCACAGGAAAACCAGGAACACCUGGUAACUGUGAUGGAGGAAAGAAUGAUGGAAGUUGAACAGAAAUUGAAACUGGUGAAAAGGCUUCUUCAGGAGAAAGUGAAUCAGCUCAAAGAACAACUCUGCAAGAAUACUAAAGCAGAUGCAAUGGUGAAGGAUUUGUAUGUUGAAAAUGCCCAGUUAUUAAAAGCUCUGGAAAUGACUGAACAGCGACAAAAAACAGCAGAGAAGAAAAAUUACCUCCUAGAAGAGAAGAUUGCCAGCCUCAGUAACAUAGUCAGGAAUCUGACACCAGCACCACUGACUUCUACACCUCCCCUGAGGUCAUAGCCAAGCCAAAGAAAAACUCAUAGUUGUGCACUUUACUGACAUGAAUGAAACAUUUCAGUUUGUUCUCUCAACCUUUUUUAAAAAACAAAACAAAACCUUUGAUGGCUUAAAGUUAAUAAGCCUAACCUAAAACAUGUAGCAACAUAAUUAAAAUCUUAAUUUAUUGUAAUUAGGUUUUCGAAAUAGACUGUAAUGGGUAUUGCAAACAAAUACAUAUUUUGCUGUCUAAAUUAUUCCCUACUUCGAUUAAAAAAAAAAAUUCUAACAGCCACCAAGAAGGUAAUGGGAAAACAACUGAAGACUUUCUGGCCUGGAAACUUCCUCAUGCUGUGGGCAUGGCCAUAAUACAAAACAGCAACAAAAAAAAAAAUUAAAACCCCAAUUUUGAAUGAGUUUAAAAAAUCGUUAUUAUAUAUGUUUAUAUGUAAAUUGCAGAUAUUUUAAAUUUGAGAUAUUAUGAGUUUUUAUUUUUAUUUUAAAACCAAAUGCAUGUUUUCUUACACAUUUAAAUAUGGAAAAGUCAUUCUGUUUCUAACGGGUUUGGGUUUUUGAACUAAUUGGUAGACUUACUGUUCGGUAGCAGAAGCUGGACUCGGUAGCCACUGAGGUCAGAGAAGCCUUAGAGUCCUUAGAACUCUAUCUUCUCCACCUGUGACAGUAUUAUGACUCUUGAUGUAUCACAGAUUUAAAACUGAUUUACUCAACUACACUGCUACCUAAUGCUACCUAUUACUCUCUUUAAACAGUCGUGGGUUUUUUUGUUUUUUGUCCUUCUUAGAAGUUUCAUUUUGGAGCUUGUUUAAGGAAUGGAUAAAGCCACAUUUGAACUAUAGGGUAAGCACUGAACAAACUGUUUUGGAGUAAACAGCUACUCUUAGAAAAGAAAGAGAAGCAGAUUCUCUUAAAGACUUGGAGUUCAUGAACUUAUAUUUGGGGUUGCCUCAAGAACUCAGGGAACAAUACUUUAAGCCGUUUUUCUCAAAUAUCAUAGGGCCUCUUUAAGAAUUUGAAACAUAUAAAUUAUGUGACCUUAUUUAUUUGUCUUACAUUUAGAGCCAUAGUGGGAUUUUUAUUUCUACCUUUUCAGUGAAUUUUACCUUCUGAAAAAAGGCCUUAAUUUUAGAGUUAAAGACUUCUAACAUAAGGAAGACUUAUUUGCUAGUUUGUUUGAUAUAGGUCAAAAUGUCUAUGCUUCCUCUUCCUCUGCACGGCAAAUCCUGAUCUUAAGAAUUUCUUAUUGUGAUAAGAAUUGGCAUGCCAUCUGAGGUAAAGGAGUGCCAAACAGGAUUUUCCAUUCAGUCUCAAGACUAGAUAGAGCAUUAUAGAAUAGUAAUAAACAUUUUGGAUAACUUCCCUCCCCCCAAGUAAAAUCUCUGCUGCUAGCAUAUUUCAGCCUGUGGGUAGAGUACUUACUAUGUUUGGGACACAAAGCUAAUCACAGCCACCUGUUUGCUUUUGUGGAAGAGUAAUUAGAUCAGAAAAUACACUUUGAUGAAUUCAAGAAAAGCCAAGUCCAUUGAGUUUUAAGAGGUAUGACAACAAAAUCAAACACUGCUUUAUGGGCAGGAACAAAAGAUGAAGCAAAUUCCUUAAGAGAACAUGUCAGGAGUUCCUGCUUUGGUACAGUGGGUUAAGAAUCCGACUUGCAGGGAGAUCUCAAUGUGGCUCAGCGGGUUGAGGACCUGAUGUAAUCUCUGUGAGGAUGUGAGUUCCAAUCCCUGGCCUUGCUCAGUGGGUUAAGGAUCCUACAUUGCUGCAAGCUGCAGUGCAGGUCAUAGAUGCUGCUUGAUCUGGUAUUGCUAUAGCUGUGGCCUAGGCCCACAGCUGCAGCUCCAAUUCAACCCCUAGCUCGGGAAAUUCCAUAUCCCACAGAUGACCAUUAAAAAAAAAAAAAAAUCUGACUGCAGUGGCUUAGGUCACCAUGAAAGCCUGGGUUUGAGCCGAUCUGGUGCAGGGUUCAUGCAGCUGUGGAUCAGAUUCAAUCCCGAGCCUUGGAACUUCCAUAUACCACGAGUAAGACCAUUAAAAAAAAAAAAAAAAAAAAAGUCAGAAACUCAAUUUCAACAAGAUAAUUUGCAUUAAGGAACUUUAUGGAGUUCCUUGGGCUUUACCAUUUACUAUUAGGUCCACGUGCCAACACAGGAAUCCUUGCUACAGCAAGCCCUGAGAAGGCAAGCUCAUUUGUGGGAACAGAGAAGUUCACACUCAAGAAGCAGACUUUUUCAUUUUUGGACAGCUCUAUUGUCAAAAUUUCUUAUUUUCCUCUGGAAAAUAAUAAAUUUUAAUCCUUCCCUAUAAUUACACUUCAAAACAUUUGAUACUUGCAAUCAUGCCCUCCCUUAUCUAUCUUUUCCAGUGCAAACAUUACUGGUAAACUCAACUACUUUUAUGGCAUUGACUUUAACAAAACAGUGGAUAGGCCUAGGUAUAUUUAUGUGAUAUGCUUUAAGGUUUUUGCCAUAGAACUGAACACCAUGUAUAUUUCUCAAAUAGAUGGCUUGGCAUAUGAAUUUCUUUUUAUUUUUUACAUUAUGAAUAGUAUAGGUUAAUUUGUUUAUUUCUUAUAAAUCUGUAUUUAUGUGUAUAUAAAAUGCUGUACAAUGAAAUGUAAAUAUGACUUCUGGAAAGUUUUAGACUACAUUUAGAAUCCCUUUAUCCAAAAUCAAAAUGCUGCUCAGAUGAAAGUUAACGUCUAGGUGCUUACUUCUUGCUUUACUGCAAGCCUAAGAUUGGGAAGAAAAAAAUCAACAUGUGAAAUAUAUAAUUACCUUAAUUUUAUAUAUUUGUGCAGCAGAUUAUUUUUGUAGACUAGAGUGGGAAUUUAACUGGCAGUUUAUAACAUAGCUUAUAGCUUUUAAAAGACCUUUUAAAGAGAUUAGACUAUUAAAUGCUUAGAUUUGCUUUCAGACUUUUAAGGGAACUCUUUAAAGUCAUAUAAUGUAUUAUUUUAUUGGCAUUUAGCUUCUUGUUUAUGAAGUCUGGUUGUUAAAUUCUCUUGAUUUCUUAAGAACAGUUACUUAAAUUAGGCUUAGAAUAUAGGAUCUUUAUUUCAACCAAACAGAAUCAAAUUUGCCUUUGUAGGAGUUCCCAUUGUGGUACAGCAGAAAUGAAUCUGAUUAGGAACCAUGAGGUUGCGGGUUUGAUCCCUGGCCUUGCUCAGCGGGUUAAGGAUCCAGCAUUGUUGUGAGCUGUGGUUGCAGACGUGGCUUGGAUCUGGCGUGGCUGUGGCGUAGGCCAACAGCUGUAGCUCUGACUGGAUCCCUAGCCUGGGAACCUCCAUAUGCCAUGGGUGCGGCCCUAAAAAGCAAAAAAAAUCAAAAUUUAAAUUUGCCUUUGUAAUAAUAUAUUGCCCUUAGAAAAGGAAAAUUUGGAUAAUAAAACUUAGAUUGUUCUAUUUGCUUUCUUCUGCUUUUCAGAAGCCUGAACUCUUAAGCUCACAUUUGUAAAAGGAGAGAAGUAGGAGGGGAGAGGUAGAACCAACCACAGUAUUUUAUUUAUUUUUUUAAGACUUACUAAACCCAGAUUUUAAAACUAUUUUACAUGUCAAUUCUUCCCAGAAGCUUCAAAUGCAUUGUAUAUAUUAACCUUAAACAUAUUUUACGUAAAAUAGGUCACAAAGUUAUAUAGGCUUUCAGGUUUUAGGUUUAGUUCUCACAAUAAUAUACCAAUAUAUUUCAAUAAUAUACCAAUACCCAGGGCAGGUAUUAUAAUGAGGAACUUAUAUUUUCUGAAGAAUGAAAAAGACUUUAUGGUGGACUUUAACAUGUGAAAAUGAAUUUUUUUUUUAAUUUUUGUGAUUUAUUUUUUUCUGAAAGAAGGAAAAGAGAGACAUGUUGCAAUCAUCAGCAUCUUAAAGGUAUUCCCACUCAAGCCAAGGCUAAGUGCUUCAUGACAGUAUUAAGCAAGUCUUGUUUUGAAUGGAUUACCUAAUGACUCACUGGAAUGAUAUAAUUAACUACAGAAGUAAUGCCAAAACUAAGUCAAAACCUGAUAACCAAAGUAUCCCUCAUUAUAUCAUAUUUGGACCUAUCUGAACAUUUCAGCACUGCAAAAUAGUUUUGGUUUAUGACAUAUGGAUAGCUAUUUAAUAGUAAACCCAAGUUAGCUUUUUGUUUGUCAGUUUUUUUUUUUUAAUGAUGUAAGUUAAAUCUGUCCUUAUGGGAAGACAUUAUCACAGCAUGAUUUAAGAGAACAUUGGUUUUGUGAAGGAAAACUGAGUUCAUCUAAAGCCACUGCUAGGAUUCUUUUUAUAUAAAGAUUAAUGUGUAUGUGUUUAUAUUGACUUUGUGUAUUUCAUCUUAGCUAUACUAUCUUAGAAAGAUUUUACCAUGAGCCUAAGAUGUAAAUAAAUGAUUUUGCAAACA